UACGAAGGGGGCUAGCGUUGCUCGGAAUCACUGGGCGUAAAGCGCACGUAGGCGGCUUUCUAAGUCAGGGGUGAAAUCCUGGAGCUCAACUCCAGAACUGCCUUUGAUACUGGAGAGCUUGAGUCCGGGAGAGGUGAGUGGAACUGCGAGUGUAGAGGUGAAAUUCGUAGAUAUUCGCAAGAACACCAGUGGCGAAGGCGGCUCACUGGCCCGGUACUGACGCUGAGGCGCGAAAGCGUGGGGAGCAAACAGG
This 253-nucleotide ribosomal RNA is filed under the name uncultured bacterium. RNAcentral's name for it is "partial 16S ribosomal RNA". It matches the Rfam family "Bacterial small subunit ribosomal RNA", at positions 524 to 776 of the family's 1533-position model. The record is from RNAcentral.